GACGAACGCUGGCGGCGUGCUUAACACAUGCAAGUCGAACGGAAAGGCCCUGCUUUUGUGGGGUGCUCGAGUGGCGAACGGGUGAGUAACACGUGAGUACCUGCCCUUGACUUUGGGAUAACUUCAGGAAACUGGGGCUAAUACCGGAUAGGAGCUCCUGCUGCAUGGUGGGGGUUGGAAAGUUUCGGCGGUUGGGGAUGGACUCGCGGCUUAUCAGCUUGUUGGUGGGGUAGUGGCUUACCAAGGCUUUGACGGGUAGCCGGCCUGAGAGGGUGACCGGCCACAUUGGGACUGAGAUACGGCCCAGACUCCUACGGGAGGCAGCAGUGGGGAAUAUUGCACAAUGGGCGGAAGCCUGAUGCAGCAACGCCGCGUGCGGGAUGACGGCCUUCGGGUUGUAAACCGCUUUCGCCUGCGACGAAGCGUGAGUGACGGUAAUGGGUAAAGAAGCACCGGCUAACUACGUG
RNAcentral lists this ribosomal RNA (467 nucleotides) under uncultured bacterium. RNAcentral's name for it is "partial 16S ribosomal RNA". It matches the Rfam family "Bacterial small subunit ribosomal RNA", at positions 28 to 507 of the family's 1533-position model. The record is from RNAcentral.